Molecule: non-coding RNA, 248 nt
Organism: Camelina sativa (false flax)
Lineage: Eukaryota; Viridiplantae; Streptophyta; Magnoliopsida; Brassicales; Brassicaceae
Source: RefSeq, a predicted model, not a curated record
UUAUCCUGAUAUUCUGUUGCUGCAGACCAAUACAGUGAUAACUUGGUUGGAGAAGAAAGGAGAAAAGAUAGGUUGUUAGUGCCAUCACAUGGGCAGGAUUCAGUUUUGUUAAAAAGGCCUCCUUCAUCCCAUUCUUCAUCGUCACAUGAAGGAUUGCUCGAGCGUAUGUCUGACACAGCUAGCAGGACAGCAAGUUCUUAUAGUGGGAUAGAAGGAGGUGUGAGACGGGAAUCAGGAGCAGCGGGAAA